This 301-nucleotide ribosomal RNA is filed under the name uncultured bacterium. RNAcentral describes it as "partial 16S ribosomal RNA". It matches the Rfam family "Bacterial small subunit ribosomal RNA", at positions 509 to 807 of the family's 1533-position model. The record is from RNAcentral.
CAGUCGCCGCGGUAAUACGUAGGGUGCAAGCGUUAAUCGGAAUUACUGGGCGUAAAGCGUGCGCAGGCGGUUUUGUAAGACAGAGGUGAAAUCCCCGGGCUCAACCUGGGAACUGCCUUUGUGUCUGCAAGGCUGGAGUGCGGCAGAGGGGGAUGGAAUUCCGCGUGUAGCAGUGAAAUGCGUAGAUAUGCGGAGGAACACCGAUGGCGAAGGCAAUCCCCUGGGCCUGCACUGACGCUCAUGCACGAAAGCGUGGGGAGCAAACAGGAUUAGAGACCCCCGUAGUCCCUGUCUCUUAUAC